CCUACGGGCGGCAGCAGUGGGGGAUAUUGCACAAUGGGGGGAACCCUGAUGCAGCGACGCCGCGUGAGCGAUGGAGUACUUCGGUGUGUAAAGCUCUGUCAGCAGGGAAGAAAAUGACGGUACCUGACCAAGAAGCCCCGGCUAAAUACGUGCCAGCAGCCGCGGUAAUACGUAGGGGGCAAGCGUUAUACGGAUUUACUGGGUGUAAAGGGGGCGUAGGCGGCUGGGCAAGCCUGAUGUGAAAGCCCGGGGCUCAACCCCGGGACUGCACUGGGAACUGCCCUGCUGGAGUACAGGAGGGGCAGGCGGAAUUCCUAGUGUAGCGGUGAAAUGCGUAGAUAUUAGGAGGAACACCAGUGGCGAAGGCGGCCUGCUGGACUGUGACUGACGCUGAGGCUCGAAGGCGUGGGGAGCAAACAGGAUUAGAUACCCCAGUAGUC
This 440-nucleotide ribosomal RNA is filed under the name uncultured bacterium. RNAcentral's name for it is "partial 16S ribosomal RNA". It matches the Rfam family "Bacterial small subunit ribosomal RNA", at positions 338 to 795 of the family's 1533-position model. The record is from RNAcentral.